Molecule: ribosomal RNA, 574 nt
Filed under: uncultured bacterium
Lineage: Bacteria
Description: bacterial SSU rRNA
Rfam family: Bacterial small subunit ribosomal RNA
Source: RNAcentral
UCCUACGGGAGGCAGCAGUAGGGAAUAUUGGACAAUGAGCGCAAGCUUGAUCCAGCCAUACCGCGUGUGUGAAGAAGGCUUUCGGGUUGUAAAGCACUUUAAGCAGGGAGAAAAAGUUAUAGGUUAAUACCCUAUGACCGUGAUGUUACCUGCAGAAUAAGCACCGGCUAAUUCCGUGCCAGCAGCCGCGGUAAUACGGAAGGUGCAAGCGUUAAUCGGAAUUACUGGGCGUAAAGCGCGCGUAGGUGGUUUGUUAAGUUGGAUGUGAAAGCCCUGGGCUCAACCUAGGAACUGCAUCCAAAACUAACUCACUAGAGUACGAUAGAGGGAGGUAGAAUUCAUAGUGUAGCGGUGGAAUGCGUAGAUAUUAUGAAGAAUACCAGUGGCGAAGGCGGCCUCCUGGAUCUGUACUGACACUGAGGUGCGAAAGCGUGGGUAGCGAACAGGAUUAGAUACCCUGGUAGUCCACGCCGUAAACGAUGACAACUAGCUGUUGGGAGACAAUGUCUUUCAGUGGCGCAGCUAACGUUUUAAGUUGUCCGCCUGGGGAGUACGGCCGCAAGGCUAAAACUCA